GUGAUUUUCAAAAGGGGAGUCCCUCUUCACCAGAGAAGGCCCCGUCACUACACCUUUACACUCGUGCAUUUGUCCCUUUUUUUACCUUUAACCCUGUGCAAUAGAAGCAGUCCCUUUGUAAAAACUUUGAUAAACGAAAGA
This 141-nucleotide unclassified non-coding RNA is filed under the name uncultured fungus. Its description in RNAcentral is "sequence contains ITS1". The record is from RNAcentral. Lineage: Eukaryota; Fungi.